CCUCACUUGUGGGGGGAUUAGUGGCGAACGGGUGAGUAACACGUGAGUAACCUGCCCUUGACUCUGGGAUAAGCCUGGGAAACCGGGUCUAAUACUGGAUACGACCUUCUGGCGCAUGCCAUGUUGGUGGAAAGCUUUUGUGGUUUUGGAUGGACUCGCGGCCUAUCAGCUUGUUGGUGGGGUAAUGGCCUACCAAGGCGACGACGGGUAGCCGGCCUGAGAGGGUGACCGGCCACACUGGGACUGAGACACGGCCCAGACUCCUACGGGAGGCAGCAGUGGGGAAUAUUGCACAAUGGGCGCAAGCCUGAUGCAGCGACGCCGCGUGAGGGAUGAAGGCCUUCGGGUUGUAAACCUCUUUCAGUAGGGAAGAAGCCGGCCUUUGGGUUGGUGACGGUACCUGCA
Molecule: ribosomal RNA, 405 nt
Filed under: Arthrobacter sp.
Lineage: Bacteria; Bacillati; Actinomycetota; Actinomycetes; Micrococcales; Micrococcaceae
Description: bacterial SSU rRNA
Rfam family: Bacterial small subunit ribosomal RNA
Source: RNAcentral